This 646-nucleotide long non-coding RNA is filed under the name Musa acuminata (dwarf banana). RNAcentral describes it as "long non-coding RNA (MACU_LNC008469)". Lineage: Eukaryota; Viridiplantae; Streptophyta; Magnoliopsida; Zingiberales; Musaceae. The record is from RNAcentral.
CUUUCCACUGCCUCAGCCCAAUCUUAACAUUUAAGCAAGCGACAAGCUAUCCUGAAAAAUUUAUACAACAACGGGGUGAGCAUAUAAAGCUCAGCAAGUGACUAACAUAUCCAUGUCAAAAGAGGAUAAUUUCCAAAGAGAUAAAGUUUCAAAAUGCAAGGCAGAAUAUAAGAAUUCAUAGACGUAAUAUCAUUAGGUGCAAAAUCACAAUUGUCAUUUCAAUCAUACAUAUUUGGUUCAUAACAGAUGAGGCCUAGAGUAAUUGGAGCAUAUCAACCACGAAUGAAACGUUUCGGAGCAUAUCAAUAACAAAUGAAAUAUUUCGGAGCUUAUCAAUGACGUAUGAAAUGUUCCGAAGCAUAUCAUGGCGUAUGGAACAUUUCGAAGCAUAUCAACAAUAAAUGAAACAUUUCGGAGCUUAUCAAUGGCGUAUGAAAUGUUCCGGAGCAUAUCAACGACAUAUGGAACAUUUCGAAGCAUAUCAACAAUGAAUGAAACAUUUCGGAGCUUAUCAAUGGCGUAUGAAAUGUUCCGGAGCAUAUCAACGGCAUAUGGAACAUUUCGAAGCAUAUCAACAAUGAAUGAAACAUUUCGGAGCUUAUCAAUGGCGUAUGAAAUGUUUCGGAGCAUAUCAAGGGCAUAUGGA